AGAGUUUGAUCAUGGCUCAGAUUGAACGCUGGCGGCAGGCCUAACACAUGCAAGUCGAGCGGUAGCACAGAGAGCUUGCUCUCGGGUGACGAGCGGCGGACGGGUGAGUAAUGUCUGGGAAACUGCCUGAUGGAGGGGGAUAACUACUGGAAACGGUAGCUAAUACCGCAUAACGUCGCAAGACCAAAGUGGGGGACCUUCGGGCCUCAUGCCAUCAGAUGUGCCCAGAUGGGAUUAGCUAGUAGGUGGGGUAACGGCUCACCUAGGCGACGAUCCCUAGCUGGUCUGAGAGGAUGACCAGCCACACUGGAACUGAGACACGGUCCAGACUCCUACGGGAGGCAGCAGUGGGGAAUAUUGCACAAUGGGCGCAAGCCUGAUGCAGCCAUGCCGCGUGUGUGAAGAAGGCCUUCGGGUUGUAAAGCACUUUCAGCGGGGAGGAAGGCGUUGAGGUUAAUAACCUUGUCGAUUGACGUUACCCGCAGAAGAAGCACCGGCUAACUCCGUGCCAGCAGCCGCGGUAAUACGGAGGGUGCAAGCGUUAAUCGGAAUUACUGGGCGUAAAGCGCACGCAGGCGGUCUGUCAAGUCGGAUGUGAAAUCCCCGGGCUCAACCUGGGAACUGCAUUCGAAACUGGCAGGCUAGAGUCUUGUAGAGGGGGGUAGAAUUCCAGGUGUAGCGGUGAAAUGCGUAGAGAUCUGGAGGAAUACCGGUGGCGAAGGCGGCCCCCUGGACAAAGACUGACGCUCAGGUGCGAAAGCGUGGGGAGCAAACAGGAUUAGAUACCCUGGUAGUCCACGCCGUAAACGAUGUCGAUUUGGAGGUUGUGCCCUUGAGGCGUGGCUUCCGGAGCUAACGCGUUAAAUCGACCGCCUGGGGAGUACGGCCGCAAGGUUAAAACUCAAAUGAAUUGACGGGGGCCCGCACAAGCGGUGGAGCAUGUGGUUUAAUUCGAUGCAACGCGAAGAACCUUACCUGGUCUUGACAUCCACAGAACUUUCCAGAGAUGGAUUGGUGCCUUCGGGAACUGUGAGACAGGUGCUGCAUGGCUGUCGUCAGCUCGUGUUGUGAAAUGUUGGGUUAAGUCCCGCAACGAGCGCAACCCUUAUCCUUUGUUGCCAGCGGUUCGGCCGGGAACUCAAAGGAGACUGCCAGUGAUAAACUGGAGGAAGGUGGGGAUGACGUCAAGUCAUCAUGGCCCUUACGACCAGGGCUACACACGUGCUACAAUGGCAUAUACAAAGAGAAGCGACCUCGCGAGAGCAAGCGGACCUCAUAAAGUAUGUCGUAGUCCGGAUUGGAGUCUGCAACUCGACUCCAUGAAGUCGGAAUCGCUAGUAAUCGUAGAUCAGAAUGCUACGGUGAAUACGUUCCCGGGCCUUGUACACACCGCCCGUCACACCAUGGGAGUGGGUUGCAAAAGAAGUAGGUAGCUUAACCUUCGGGAGGGCGCUUACCACUUUGUGAUUCAUGACUGGGGUGAAGUCGUAACAAGGUAACCGUAGGGGAACCUGCGGUUGGAUCACCU
RNAcentral lists this ribosomal RNA (1528 nucleotides) under Klebsiella pneumoniae. RNAcentral's name for it is "bacterial SSU rRNA". It matches the Rfam family "Bacterial small subunit ribosomal RNA". Lineage: Bacteria; Pseudomonadati; Pseudomonadota; Gammaproteobacteria; Enterobacterales; Enterobacteriaceae. The record is from RNAcentral.